UUGUAAGAAGAAGGAAUUCAGACACAGACACAUACAAAGGGAAGGCGAUAUGAAAACACAGGGAAAAGACAGCCAUCUCUAAGCCAAAGAGAGAGGCCUUAGAAGAAAUCAACCCUGCUGACAUCUUGAUCUUGGACUUCCAGCCUCUGGAACUAGAAAGAGAGUCUCCUUCUGGCCUUGAAGAAGGAAACCGCCAUGUUGUAAGAAGGCCUGAAAGGGGGCCACAUGCAAGGAACUGUGGAGCAGCACCCAGGUGACAGUCAGCAAGAAAGUGGGACCCUCAGUCCUACAGCUACAAGGAACUAAAUUCUGCCAACAACCUUGUGAGUUUGGAAGAAGACCUGAAUCCAAAAUGAAAUACAGCCCACUGACGCCCUGAUGGCAGCCUUGUGAGACCCUGAGCAAAAGACCCAGACUUCAGGGCCUCCCACAGACAGUGUGCCCAGGGAUGCUUUGCCCGCCAUUCCACGUCCCAUGUGCCCCUACAUCCUUGUCGAGGAAGAAACCAAAAUAGCAUCCUUCACCUGGUCG
This is a long non-coding RNA of Pteropus alecto (black flying fox), 531 nucleotides long. RefSeq lists it as uncharacterized. NCBI's taxonomy places the organism in Eukaryota, Metazoa, Chordata, Mammalia, Chiroptera, Pteropodidae. The record is from RefSeq and is a predicted model, not a curated record. The transcript has 3 exons.